CUGGCGGCAGGCCUAAUACAUGCAAGUCGAGCGCGCCCUUCGGGGUGAGCGGCGGACGGGUGAGUAACGCGUGGGAAUAUGCCCUUCUCUAAGGAAUAGCCUCUGGAAACGGAGAGUAAUACCUUAUACGCCCUUUGGGGGAAAGAUUUAUCGGAGAAGGAUUAGCCCGCGUUAGAUUAGGUAGUUGGUGGGGUAAUGGCCUACCAAGCCUACGAUCUAUAGCUGGUUUGAGAGGAUGAUCAGCCACACUGGGACUGAGACACGGCCCAGACUCCUACGGGAGGCAGCAGUAGGGAAUCUUAGACAAUGGGGGCAACCCUGAUCUAGCCAUGCCGCGUGUGUGAUGAAGGCCCUAGGGUCGUAAAGCACUUUCGCCAGAGAUGAUAAUGACAGUAUCUGGUAAAGAAACCCCGGCUAACUCCGUGCCAGCAGCCGCGGUAAUACGGAGGGGGUUAGCGUUGUUCGGAAUUACUGGGCGUAAAGCGCACGUAGGCGGAUUAGUAAGUUAGAGGUGAAAUCCCAGGGCUCAACCCUGGAACUGCCUUUAAUACUGCUAGUCUUGAGUUCGAGAGAGGUAAGUGGAAUUCCGAGUGUAGAGGUGAAAUUCGUAGAUAUUCGGAGGAACACCAGUGGCGAAGGCGGCUUACUGGCUCGAUACUGACGCUGAGGUGCGAAAGUGUGGGGAGCAAACAGGAUUAGAUACCCUGGUAGUCCACACCGUAAACGAUGAAUGCCAGACGUCAGCAAGUAUACUUGUUGGUGUCACACCUAACGGAUUAAGCAUCCG
RNAcentral lists this ribosomal RNA (787 nucleotides) under uncultured Planktomarina sp. Its description in RNAcentral is "bacterial SSU rRNA". It matches the Rfam family "Bacterial small subunit ribosomal RNA", at positions 36 to 871 of the family's 1533-position model. The record is from RNAcentral. Lineage: Bacteria; Pseudomonadati; Pseudomonadota; Alphaproteobacteria; Rhodobacterales; Paracoccaceae.